RNAcentral lists this ribosomal RNA (873 nucleotides) under Triticum aestivum (bread wheat). Its description in RNAcentral is "partial small subunit ribosomal RNA". The record is from RNAcentral. Lineage: Eukaryota; Viridiplantae; Streptophyta; Magnoliopsida; Poales; Poaceae.
AUGUUUGCUGCAACUAUUUCAGUUCUAAGAAGUGUAGCAACUGAUCGCUCAGCUACAAGGAAUUCAAGAGGAGACGUUGUGGGUGCCUUGAAGAUAUUAAACACAUUUGAUUUUGUCUUCAUUCUGCACCUAAUGGAAAGAAUUAUGAAAAUCACGGAUAUCUUGUGUGUGAAACUUCAAAAUAAAAGUUUGGAUAUUGCUAAUGCACUUGAUUGUGUUUCUAACACAAAGUCGUUGCUUGCUGAACUGAGAGAAGAUGGACGGGAAAGUCUUUUUGAAGAUGUCAAAUCAUUUUGUGUGAAACAUGAGAAUGAUAUCCCAGACAUGGAUGAAAGGUAUGUUGAUGUAAUAAAAUCAAGAAAUAAGCAUGAUAACACCACCGUUAUCCAUCAUCAAAGUAGAUGUUUUAAUGUUGCAAUAGAUCAACAAGUGAUAGAGUUGAAUGAUCGAUUCAGUUCUCAAGUUACAGAGCUUCUAGAUCUUUGUUCAUCAUUGGACCCUAGACAUGAUGCCUUCGACAAGUCCAAGAUAUGCACUCUAGUGGAAAAAUUCUACCCUGCUGAUUUUUCUAGUCAAGAAAGAGAUCGGUUGGAGUGUGAAUUACCACAUUUCUAGCUUGAUACAUUGAACCAUCCAAGGUUGUUACGAUUAGUAAUAACUCUUCCGGUGUCAACUGCAACAGCAGAGCGAGCCUUUUCCGCAAUGAAACUUGUCAAGACACGUCUUCGAAGUAAAUUGGGAGAUGAUUUUCUCCGUCAUUGCACUAUAGUCUACAUUGAGAAGGAAAUAGCAGCCAAGUUUAGCUCCGACAAUAUUAUUGAGAUAUUUGAUACUGGUGCUCGUAAAUCCGACUUCAAAUUAAUAGAUAUGUAA